Girardinichthys multiradiatus is the source of this 866-nucleotide long non-coding RNA. RefSeq lists it as uncharacterized. The transcript has 3 exons. NCBI's taxonomy places the organism in Eukaryota, Metazoa, Chordata, Actinopteri, Cyprinodontiformes, Goodeidae. The record is from RefSeq and is a predicted model, not a curated record.
CAAGGUGAUUCCCAAAGCCAGAUGAUCAACUGAAGGAUGAGCCCUCUCUCAGGUCAGCUGUGUCCAAUAUGUCUCUUUCUGAAAGGUGCUGAGGAGCAGUCCAAUUGUAUCAAGCAGGAAUCCUAUCUCUGUCCUUUAGAUGCUCUUUGUUGGAGAGGAUGCUGGCUUUGAGGACACACCUGCAGAUGAUCAGGUCAUCAGAUCUCUGGAGAUGUUUGAGUUCCCCUGCUGGUUUCUGACUACACUUGAAAGUUCCAUGUUCCUAAGCCUCCAUAAUCUUGAGCAUGGUAAUCCUCUGCAGUUCUUCAUUGCCUUCAAGCGUCUGCCAGCCUGCUCUCUGAAGUUCUCCACCCAGUACUCCUUUGGAUCUCAAACACCAAACAUCUGGAAGCAAACCACCUCUAAGCCAGCCCUCCAUCUACCACCAGGAACAUCCUCACCCUUCUGAGCCAGACACCUUCCCCCAGGCAGUUAGAUGUUCUCCUUCAUUAAACCUAGAAAACCCAUCUAAACACCUUUAAUAAAGUUCUUCCUCCUUCCAGAUGCAGUUGAGACCCGUUGCUGCAGUUUAUUUCCCUGCUUCACCGCCCAUCUGUUAAUAAACCUUUUUAACUUGUUUGCAGUCUUGCCUCCAGGUUUGAUUCUGCAUGUGGGUCACAAUAUUUAACAAAAAUAUGACACUCCUAAUGCCUUUGUACAAUAUGAUGCUUUUAAUCUUCUCUCUGAGAGUCCCAUCUGAGUGCAACAGAGACUUGUAAAACGUAGACUUGGCUGAAGAAUUCUCACACACUCAUAUGAUUUUAUAAAUAAACAUACAUGCCCUUCUUUGUAUCAAAUGUUGUGAUUCUUUGUAUUUUGGUGAUGUA